Mercenaria mercenaria is the source of this 7562-nucleotide RNA transcript. It is a transcript of the gene named putative tyrosinase-like protein tyr-3, with no coding region annotated. NCBI's taxonomy places the organism in Eukaryota, Metazoa, Mollusca, Bivalvia, Venerida, Veneridae. The record is from RefSeq and is a predicted model, not a curated record. The transcript has 5 exons.
AUGUUUCACCACUAUUGUUGUAGAUUUGGAUUCACUGCACCACCAACAGGAUUCAGAUUACGACGGGACUUAAGAACUCUAACAGAAGAAGAAUGGAUUAAAACUGUAAACGUCUUUCUUCAAAUGUAUAAGGAUGGUACUCUUCGCGCAUUUGGCCGUUUGCAUUCUAAAGUAGGUAAAAGCGCACACAGAGGAGCUGCAUUUCUCGUGUGGCAUAGAGUAUUCUUAACACAGGACGUAUCAACUUUAGUCUGUAUAUGUUACAGUAAUAUUUUUCCGUUCGGUUUGUUUUUUGCAUUGAUUUAAAUCCGCACAGGUAUUAGUCAAAUACACGCUUAAUAUGUGUGUUAAAAUGUUUUGGGAUGGGGUGGGGGCAUUAGAUUUACUUAAUACAAAACAUCGUUUUAAGAACCGUAAUUAAUGAUUCCAGUCUUUAGUUUUGACAUAUCUAUAGUUGACAUUAGCAGUACACCCUUUUAUGUCUCGCAAAAAAAGAAGACAAUUUUGAAUGUUCAUAAGAAUUUAUUAACAUUACUUUAUGUAAACAAAUUAAACUUAAUAACCCAUGAUAUUAGUACCAAACCAAAGAAACUAUCAAUAUCAGCAAUAAAAAUUACCCAAUAUUAGCAAUACAAAUUACCCAAUAUCAGCAAUAAAAAUUACCCAAUAUUAGCAAUAAAAGAUCACUUCAUGUUUGUCAUGUUUGCAAUGUAAUAGUGAAUCCCUCUCACGAAAAAUAUUAAUAAGGAACAAAAACAGAUUUUCAAUUAACCAUAAUAGUCAUACAUGAAUGAAAAAUGUCGGUACUAGCAAAAUAUAAUUUAAUCCAUAUUAGCAGUACCAAUUGUCCAUAUGAGAUUUACAAAGAUAGCAAUAAAAACGUCCCUCCAUAGCAAUAUAAAAAUAAUUCCAUAUUAGCAAUAUAAAUGUCGCUUCAUAUUACAAAUAAAAAAGCUCCUUAUCAGCCACUAAGAAGUUACUCUAUAGUAUCUAUACAAAUUUUAAAAGCUCAACUAAAGUUUAUGCUUUUUGUUUAUGUAUUAUCUCCAUGUCGGCAAUACAACAAACAGUUACUCCAUAUUAGAAAAACAAACAUCAUUCCAUAUUAGCAAAUACAAAAUACUCCAUAUGAACAAUACAAAAGUCACCUGCUUAUCAGUGCACUUGAUUUAAAGAUCCCGAAAGUGGUACGCUGUGUGUUGUGUGCUAGUCAUGUUCCGCGUUCAGCCUGAACUGCUUAACCACGGAUUGUUAAUCAACUUAUAAAAUAGUAUCUGGAGUAGAACCAACUUCCAGCACACAAACAACCUGGUAUCAGGCAAUUCCCUUGACGGACAACAGACCUGGCUCAGAAGAUAAAAGAUGCUUUUCAACAGAAGAAGACCACAAUUUGAAUAUGGAUCAAUCUUCAAACAAAUUCUCGGUUUACGGCCUCGUAGUCAAAUAACAGACAGAGAAACAGGAUUUAAGGCAUAGUGUUCAAGUAGAUUAAGUUCUACUAUUAAACAGAAAAAGUUGAUAUAACAAUGAGCCAAGCUUUUCUGUAAAGUCACGAUGUUUGAUAAAUGAGAAAAUCAUCACCAGAUGGUCUGUAUUUUCUCAUCAUCAAUGAUCUGUUGUCUGACCUUCAAGAUGAAUCAAGAAUACACUCUUUGCAGAUAACCGUGUGUAGUUGGUGCACGAAAGAGAUCGUAACAACUGUCACAUAUAAGAUGCAACAAACUGCAGACACGUUAUCCAUGAUGAGAAGAAGCUUGCCAAUCUCAAGAAGUUAUCGGACAACACAUGGAAAGCUGACGUGCUUAUUCUAAGGACUGUAUACCUGGAUACAGUCAUGCAUCACCUUGAAUAUGGCUAACCAGUUAUUGACCAGUUAGCAUGUGUUUGACAAGGUCAAGAACCAAGUCCUUCGUAUGAUCUCAGGAGUAACUAGGUCAGCUCCAAUAAAGACCAUAAAAACGCAUGUUAUUCAACGACUUAGUCAAAGGACGCAGCCACCAUAUAUGUAUCCUGUGGCCUCAGUAUUCAGAAUACAUUGUACAUACAGUCUACUUUCGUUUUUUUACGAGCCAGUAAAAAUAUUAUUAUUCUGAAUGAAAAGAACAGCAUUCGGCAUCCGGUAAGAAUAAAGAUAUUUAAUAUUUAAAAUAACUAAAUAUAAAAUACAAAUGACAAGUUUUACAGUAAUUGAAAGGAACUGUAGAAUAUCAGACACAAACAACGAGAAUUAUAAGAAUAAGGAAAGAUUGAAAAACAAAACAUUAAUGACUAUUAUAUUUAGCAUAACGAAACAUUAAUCAACAGUCUUAAACAUACAAUAACAGUAUCGAAAUAUAGAAUAAAAAUCAUGCCUUUUACAUCGCUGAAAAUUAAUACCAAUCAUGUAGUAAGAAUAACGAAUUAUAAUAAAACAAGAAUGCUGAAAGAAUACUUAAACUUCUGCCAUAUAACUCCAUAUAAUUUGAAAACUUAUUUGGAACAAUAACGUAUCUGCUGUACUUGGUGUAUAAAGCGUUUUUGUUUAAUGAAUUGUUGGCAUGGCCUCCCAGCCCAGGAUAUUAAUGUCUUCAUUAUGUCAUUGCAUUCACGAUAUCAUUCAUGACCUGUUGAAUUCUGUUUGUAUAAACUAUAAACAUAUACUACAACACUUUUCUUAUUGAAAAUUGAAUAACAUUUGGAGAAUCAAAAUAUCAAUAUCAAUUCUCGUAAAAGAUAAGUUAGUUGAUGCUUGUAAAUAUUAAGAAUUUCGAAUAUUUGUUUCUUUUACGCAUCAUUAAGUAUGCUAACCGUUGGUGCAUUCUGAUAUAAAGUAAUCGAAAGUAACAAAAAUUAGAAAGAUGUAUAUACUUCCCUUCCAGCUUUGAGGAAGAAAUGCGAAAAAUUGAUCCAACUGUAUCUCUCCCUUACUGGGACUACUCGGCUGACUUCUAUAUAGCUAAGCCAGCAGAGUCAGUUGUCUGGAGUGACUGUUUCAUGGGCUCAGGGGUCGGUGAGAUUUCAGGAUAUUUUGAAAAAUUUAUGGGGCACAUUAUUCAUAUAUCAGCAGAAAUGCGAACAGUGACUGCUAUGGGAAACUCAUAAAUCUAGAGGAUGUGGACAAGCUUCUGAAAUUUUGCUCGUUUAAGGAUAUAACAACUGGUAUACAAACAGAGGAGGAUUACCAAAACCAAGAGCAUAAUCUUGAGCUAUUGCAUGAUAUGGUACAUGAUUGGGUGGGAGGAGAUAUGGGAAUAGUUCUAAACUCUGCGUUUGAUCCAAUAUUUUAUAUGCACCAUGCAUACAUCGACUACAUUUUUGAAGAGUUUAGAAAUCAUCAAAAACAAGCAGAGAGGUGCAAAUAUAUAGACUUAGAAUCGGAUUAUCGCCCAAUGAAUGACCUUUGCCAAAAAUGCAGCGAUACCGAUACUCGUGGACAUGGACCUGACGAUACAAUGGUGGGAUAUAAUCAUAUUCGAAACAUUGACGGACUCUGGUUAAAUUGGACUACAGAAUUUUAUAAUUACGAACCUAGACCUUCAUGUCCCCACAACUGCAGCGGCAAGUACUUGUACUGCGACAAAAGUUUCGACGCUUCGAAGUAUCCUGAUGGAAUCUGCGUAACUAGAACAAAGAGUGCAGCCACCUGUAACAACCUCCGAGUUAAGAGAGACACAAAAUCAUUGACGCCCUCAAUUUCCUGUGAUAGGCCGGGAAACAAAUUUGAAGUUUUACACGGCGAUGGUAGAAAUAGGCGCAUGUCGGUAAAGACGGCUUUGGAAAAGCUUAAACUGUUCGCCACUAGUUUCCUCGGCACUAAAAAGUCUACCGAAAAAGCGGAAAACGAAUCAAGGCCUUGCAUCACAGGUAUCAUAUUCGGGAUCGGUUUUGGCAUUGAAACCGUGGUGAUAAUUGCGUUGAUAGCCUAUAUAUGUCUUAAAUAUGCACAAUUGAGUGGGGGAGGACAAUAUAUUACGACAAGUACUCAGGAUGCUCUGUAAUCGUUUAUUAUAAAAACAACGGAACAAAGCAUCACAUCAUUGACAUUACAAAUUGACUGCUGUUGACUCAUAAUGUAUAAUUUGAUAGUUGUUGAACAAACCCUUAUAUUCCUUAUUAAAAACGAAACAUGUUAAUUUGAUUUUAUCCCAUUAUUUUAUAUUUUAAUAAGAAUGUUUGCAGUUUUAUGAUAAAUCAGUUUACAGAUAUUCUGAUAAGUUUUGCGUAUUAAUAUGAAUACCACUUGUUACACCUUUUUCAUUUUUAUGAUAUUGGUGGUUAUUGUUUGUUCAACAUAAUCAAACUAUUAUCGAUUAUUUAAUAUUAUCAUGCAUGAAAUACAUGUGUUCUAACUAAGUUGUCCUGUGUAAUAAUGUUAUGCGUAUGCUUCUUAUCUUUGUAAAAAAUCUAAUUUAACUAUAUGAACUUAAUGCCAUAUGGCGCCCGUUACAAUUUUCCAUGUACUUGCUACUUGCACUUGCUGUUGAACAGGCUCAGUCAAACAGAAUAUGCAACAUUAUCAUUCAUGUCGUGUUAGGCGGCCUGUGGUUUUCCACAUUUUUGCAGCGUUGCAUGUGCUGUAUGGCAACUGUAAAAGUCUCCCUAUACUUUCUAUCAAAGCUAUUAUAUUUCGAUAUCUUGUGAUCGUUCAGCACAUCAUUUAUGUUGUGUAAGUGUAUUGUUUAAGUUUUCUGCUUGAACAUUUCGCUUAGGUGGUUCCAAAACUCCUGCGUUAAUAGCUUUGGGAUUUGUUAAGUCACCAGUUUGCCUGCUUUUGGCAGUUUCUGUGAUAUGCAAGCUCGAUAACCUCAGAUCCCCUCUCUAAAUUCCAAUUUGUUUAGUUCUGCCCUUAGUGUUUUAUCUGGGAUCAAAAACUAGGUCACUAGGGUAAAUCAAAGAAAAACUUUGUGUAUGCGAUAGAAGCUGUAUUUUUCAAUUGAUCUUCAUGAAUCUUGGUCAGAAUGAUUGCCUUGAUAAAAUCUAAGUCAAGUUUGAAUAUGGGUCAUCUUAGGUAGAAACUAGGUCACUAGGUCAAAUCAAAGAAAAACCUUGUGUAUGUAAUAAGGGCUGCAUUUUACACUGGAUAUUCAUCAAAUGUAAUCAGAAUGUUUGUUUACUAAUAGAUGAAAUCAAGGUCGAGUUUGAAUAUUGGUCAUCUAGGGUAAAAAACUAUGUCAUCUAGUGUUCGCAACAGGGGCUGCUUUUUACUUUCGAUAUUCAUAAAAUUUAGUCAGAAUGAUUGCCUUGAUGAAAUCUAGCUAAGUUAAAACAUGGGUCAUCUGGGAAACAUGUUUACUUUGUUAUGAUGUGCUUCUCAGGUGAGCGACCUAGGGCCAUCUUGGCCCUCUUGUUACGUAAUUGCUUAGAGUUCUGCUGAGGCCGGUUGGUUUGAGAGAGAGAGAGAGAGAGAGAGAGAGAGAGAGAGCCUAACAGUCUCUACUAAAUUAAAUGUACCGUCCACAUUAUCUUCCAAGGGGACUUUAGGCAGUAGUUUAAUCUGAAUAACAUUUUCUUGUUCUCAGAAAAACUGUACAAUUCGACUUCGGUUGGCAGACACAUUGUCAUGAAUAAGUUUUAUGGCUUUCAAACACUUAUUUGGUCGUUUAUGAUGAUAGAUUCAUUUGACAGCUAUAGUAGUUUAUUUCAUAGAACUUGUCUGUGGUGGCUUUACCUUCUGUGCAGGGAAUUUAUACAACUAGAAUGAAAAACAUGGCAUAGCAUACCUUCUUGCCACAUUUGUCUUUUGUAAUGGCCAAGUACUUGAAUCUCUAAUGCCCGUGGGGGAGGGGAGCGAAUGUAAAAACAAGGAAGAAUAUCCAACAGGGAAAGCCACGUUCCAAAAACGCAGCCUCCCAUAGGCACACACGAACAACACUCGCACACACACACAUACACACACACACACAUGAAAACCAUGAUUUCCAUGAUUUCUUCACAUUUCAUUAUAGCAUUGAAAUUAUAGCAUUGAAAUAUAAUCACUGAAUAUGAUUGUGUAUAUAUUAACGAUUAAUUAAUGUAUAACUUGGUCAAUUGUACUGGAGUUUUUCGAUAUCUUACAGGUAAAUUGACUAAACAUCCGUUUUCAAGUACAUGAAUCUCAUUAUAUAUAUAAUAUAAUGUUUCUACGGAAGGUCGGUAGUGACAGAAUUUAUGUACUUAUCCUCAUAUGAUACCAAUAUCGGCCCUUUUGUCCUCGUCUGUAUGAUAAUUAAACGUAUUAAAAAGUUUGCCUUUUAAUGAAUUGCAACGGACGAGUAAAGCAUUUGGAACGCUGUUAAGCAUCAGUUUGCCUGCUGCCUUUGCAAACUUAAACGACUGGUAAAACCUUGAAGGCUGUAUGUAAGAAUUAAAUGUUAUGUAAGAAUUAGAUAUUGUACAACAGUUUGAUUUUCAAUGUGUGUUGAAGACUGUAUGAUAGUAAGUUCUUAAAUCCCAACUGGACUUAUUGAUUUCUGUCUGUCUUUAGGCCCGUUUCGUCGCGCCUUUAAGGGUGUUUCCAAAAUUGCUCUGUCCUGUACAAAGGCAAUGAGUACACGCAUUGUUUUUGCUUGCACUUUAUAUAAAUUUGCAGGAGCAUUGUUGUUUUUUACAUAACACGUCUUCUAUUGCCAUUGCCUGUGUGUAGCAGAGAUAACUUUUAUUUACACUGUAAGUGACUUAGGAGCAUGGACGGAUAAGAGUGAGUUUAAGUGCACCAUAAAUCUAUUUAACAUCCCAGUGGUGAUUUUGCUUCUGAUCUGUAUCAGGCGGUGCCAAACAGUUUUCCUUUCUCUGUUCGUUUUGACCUCGUGAGUUUACUUUGUGCGUGCAUACGUGCGCGUGUUCGCGUGCGUGUAUGUGUGUGUCUGUGUUUGUGUGUCUGCGUAUUGUUCGUGUGCAUAUAUGUGUGCAUGCUGGGUUGCGGAUUUUGGAGGCUGCGUUUUUGGAUUAUUGAAAGUAGCUUUCCCUGUUGGAUAUUUAUCCUUGUUUUUAGCUUUUAUAAUGAUGCCAAGCACCGGUAUAUAUGGCUUUCCUUUAAAACUUUAUAGAGGCACAGUCGAAUGCAAUGGCCAUACUCUGCCGUAAUACAGCUUUAAAAAUCACAUAUUUGGCAUUAUAUAACUAAAAUAGUGUUUCCGGUACUGUAGUUUCAUGUUUUGUUGCUUAAUUUUAAAAAUUAAUAUGCACUGCAAUCAGACUAUUUGAAUGUUUGUAACUAAACUCUUGAUUUAUUCGAACUUUUCCGUAACAGGGUUUCAUGUUAUUUCAUUUCUUUUCAAUAUAACUCCAAAGAUUUUUUUAUCUAUUUGCCAUUUAUCAAAUUUAAUUUUAACGUUCAGAAUUUGUUAUGGUCAACCCAUUUAUACAGGUGAUUUUCCAAGAAAAUACAGCUGUGUCUUUAAAAUUGAAAUCAUUUACGAUUAAAAUUCUUCUGCCAUACUUGUAGAACUUGUGGUUUAAAUACUGUUUGCACAAAGACAAAAUAUAUUAUAAUAAUGUUCAUCUAUAGUAUUCAAUACAGUUCUAGUAAAACGAAUUGAAAUAGUAUGUUUCCUUAUGGUUUUUUUUCAGCACCAUUAUGAAUGAAUCAAUUCUCUUUAGUUAAA